Molecule: ribosomal RNA, 255 nt
Filed under: uncultured bacterium
Lineage: Bacteria
Description: partial 16S ribosomal RNA
Rfam family: Bacterial small subunit ribosomal RNA
Source: RNAcentral
UACGUAGGGGGCUAGCGUUGUCCGGAAUUAUUGGGCGUAAAGAGCUUGUAGGCGGUUUGUCGCGUCUGCUGUGAAAUUUCGGGGCUCAACCCCGAACUUGCAGUGGGUACGGGCAGGCUAGAGUGUGGUAGGGGAGACGUGGAAUUCCUGGUGUAGCGGUGAAAUGCGCAGAUAUCAGGAGGAACACCGAUGGCGAAGGCAGGUCUCUGGGCCACUACUGACGCUGAGGAGCGAAAGCGUGGGGGAGCGAACAGG